AUUGAACGCUGGCGGCAGGCCUAACACAUGCAAGUCGAGCGGAUGAAGGGAGCUUGCUCCUGGAUUCAGCGGCGGACGGGUGAGUAAUGCCUAGGAAUCUGCCUGGUAGUGGGGGAUAACGUCCGGAAACGGGCGCUAAUACCGCAUACGUCCUGAGGGAGAAAGUGGGGGAUCUUCGGACCUCACGCUAUCAGAUGAGCCUAGGUCGGAUUAGCUAGUUGGUGGGGUAAAGGCCUACCAAGGCGACGAUCCGUAACUGGUCUGAGAGGAUGAUCAGUCACACUGGAGCUGAGACACGGUCCAGACUCCUACGGGAGGCAGCAGUGGGGAAUAUUGGACAAUGGGCGAAAGCCUGAUCCAGCCAUGCCGCGUGUGUGAAGAAGGACUUCGGAUUGUAAAGCACUUUAAGUUGGGAGGAAGGGCAGUAAGUUAAUACCUUGCUGUUUUGACGUUACCAACAGAAUAAGCACCGGCUAACUUCGUG
Molecule: ribosomal RNA, 484 nt
Filed under: uncultured bacterium
Lineage: Bacteria
Description: partial 16S ribosomal RNA
Rfam family: Bacterial small subunit ribosomal RNA
Source: RNAcentral